CAGUCGCCGCGGGAAUACAGAGGGUGCGAGCGUUAAUCGGAUUUACUGGGCGUAAAGCGUGCGUAGGCGGCUUCUUAAGUCGGAUGUGAAAUCCCCGAGCUUAACUUGGGAAUUGCAUUCGAUACUGGUUAGCUAGAGUGUGGGAGAGGAUGGUAGAAUUCCAGGUGUAGCGGUGAAAUGCGUAGAGAUCUGGAGGAAUACCGAUGGCGAAGGCAGCCAUCUGGCCUAACACUGACGCUGAGGUACGAAAGCAUGGGGAGCAAACAGGAUUAGAUACCCCCGUAGUCCCUGUCUCUUAUAC
Molecule: ribosomal RNA, 301 nt
Filed under: uncultured bacterium
Lineage: Bacteria
Description: partial 16S ribosomal RNA
Rfam family: Bacterial small subunit ribosomal RNA
Source: RNAcentral